AGGAUUAACGCUGGCGGCGUGCAUGAAACAUGCAAGUCGAGCGCGGUGUGAUGCGGGGUAACCCAAUUCACAUCUAGCGGCGAACGGGUGAGUAACACGUGAGCAACCUACCUUUGAGUUGGGGAUAGCCCUGGGAAACCAGGAUUAAUACCCGAUGUGGUCACAACAGGACAUCCUGAUGUGAGUAAAGGCGUAAGCCGCUCAAUGACGGGCUCGCGGCCUAUUAGCUUGUUGGUGGGGUAACGGCCUACCAAGGCGAUGAUGGGUAGCUGGUCUGAGAGGACGAUCAGCCACACUGGGACUGAGACACGGCCCAGACUCCUACGGGAGGCAGCAGUGGGGAAUUUUGCGCAAUGGGGGAAACCCUGACGCAGCAACGCCGCGUGGAGGAUGAAGCCCCUUGGGGUGUAAACUCCUUUCGAUCGGGAAGAUAAUGACGGUACCGAUAUAAGAAGCCCCGGCUAACUUCGUGCCAGCAGCCGC
RNAcentral lists this ribosomal RNA (483 nucleotides) under uncultured bacterium. RNAcentral's name for it is "SSU rRNA". It matches the Rfam family "Bacterial small subunit ribosomal RNA", at positions 26 to 518 of the family's 1533-position model. The record is from RNAcentral.